GCUGAGCAGGUGGGGUGGUAGCUGGUGUUGGAAUCAUAGCCCGAGGACCUAGUGGAGCACGCGGUGGCUGAGAAGUCUAUGGAGGUGCACCCCUCCUAAGUCUGGGGCAAUCCAUCACUAUAUGGAGAGUGUCACCACACUCAAAAAAAAGCUCUCGGAGAGUGUGGCUGCUGUGACUGGCUCGGGCCAAGUCUGCUAGACUGACCGCUAAAAGCACCCCGUGCAAGAGGCACACUAGACACUCGCGGUGCAUAAUAAGGCUCCUAAGGCCAAGAAGGGACCUGAAUACUACUAGCAACUGGAAGAGCUGAAUGAACAAGGCGACUCCCAAAGCCCCUACCAUGGAGAACUGCAGCUGGGGCAUGAGUACCACUGUAAGUGCCAGACUCUCGAGACCUCUUGGCCUCCCUCUCAUCUCUAUCUCGAGCGAGCAUUCCCUCCAAUUUCCUAGCAAUACUCACAACCUGCUGGUAAGAAAUAUCCAUCUCUAACUCCCUGACCACACUAAUCCUGAUACUGGGGUGGAGUCCCUUAAUAAACCGACGAACCCUCUCUCGAACUGCGACAACCAUGGCACCCUGGCGCAGCUACUUAAACGAACUGUAUACUCUGACACAAUCAUAGCACCCUGGCGCAGCUACUUAAACUCCGCGCGCCAUGCGUCCCUGAGGCUCUGAGGGACAUACUCUCUCAAAAACAUAUCCGAGAACUAAGUCCAUGUAGGUGAAGCUGCCUCAGCUGGACUACUCAACUCAUAAGCAUGCCACCACUGAAAGGCUGCUCCUCUAAGCUGAAAUGCAGUAAAGGAAACCCCACUCGACUCUGCUACACCCAUAGUACGGAGAAUGCAGUGACACUCCUCUAGAAAAUCUUGGGCAUCCACUAACGCCAAUCCAUUGAAGGUAUGAGGGUGGUACUUCUUGUACCUCUCAAGUUUGAGAUGAUCUGCCUCAGAAACUUCUACCCUAACCUCGGGCUGAGCUGGAGCUACUGGCUGCAUCGGAAAAAUCUCUCAAACCUGGUCGACCUGAACCUGCUGCUCAGGGGUACGGGCUGCGGGAGUUUGUGCUCCUCCCCCGACCUGAGAUGUGGCAGGAGCAAGUGGAAUUAAUCCAGCCUGAGCUAAGGUGCUGAACAUGCUCAGAAAGUGGGCUAGAGUCUCCUGGAGGGCUGGUGAAGCAACAUGUAUCUCAGGUGUCUGCCCUCCAGCUGGAGCUACUGGGGGCUCCUUUAUAACAGCUCGUGAGGGUGCUUUGGCUGCACCGCGUGGACGUCCUCGCCCUCUACCCCGGCCCUGGCCUCUCGCGGCUCUAGCAAGGGGCGCCGGUUCCUGGUCAUCAGAUCCGCCUAUACGUGUCCUUACCAUCUGUGAGAGAAUAGAAUACAAAAGUUUAGAAUUUCGAAGUCAACAAUUUUGUACGAUAAGGAAUCAAAGAAGUGUAAUUUUUCCUAACAGUUCCAUAGCCUCCCGAAGAUAAGUACAAAUGUCUUCGUACCGAUCCACGAGACUCUAAUAAAUCAGCUUGUGACUCACGACACCUAUGAACCUAGAGCUCUGAUACCAACUUGUCAUGACCCAAACUCCCUCCGUAUAAUGUCGUGACGGCACCUAAUCUCUAUGACUAGGUAAGCCUAACAAAUUGCGGGAAAUAAACAAACGAAAGUAAAACUUGGCAACUAAUAACAGUGGAUAAUUGAAUAACUAGUAACAAUGCGGCUUGGCAUGUAAAAUAUCCAAUACUCUAUAAAUACACAAUCUUCCCAAAAUCCGGAACACCAUAAGUCAAAAGCUACAGAAGGAAAAUAACAUCUCUAUACACCAGAGUCUAAUAAAAAGAAUAUAUGAAGUGUUUGACAUAGGGGAGAAUAGAGGGAACUCCUAGGUCUGCGGACACGAAAAAUGUACCUUGAAGUCUUUGUACAGCAGCAGGCACUCUCAGCUAAUAGCGGAGCUGAUAAGAAGUACCUGGAUCUGCACACAAAAAUAUGUAUAGAAGAAUAGCAUGAGUACACCACGACGGAACCCAGUAAGUGCCAAGCCUAACCUCGAUCGAGUAGUGACGAGGUCAGGUCAUGCCCACUGGUAAAUAAUAAAUAAGGCAGGAGAAUAUAUACAGUAUAAUAAGAGACUAGAAUUUAACAAAAGGAAACACUGCAAGGCAACAGUACAACACACAAGGGUAAACAACAGGGGAUCUCCCGAGAUACCGUCUCCUAGUCCCAAAAUAAAUAUGCAGGGAGAACUUCCGAGGUACCGCCUCGUAGUCUCAAAAGUAAAUAUAUAGGAAGAACUCCCGAGGUACCGCCUCGUAGUCUCAAAAGUAAAUAUAUAGGGAGAACUCUCGAGGAACCGUCUCGUAGUCUCAAAAGUAAAUGUGCAAGGAGAACUCCCGAGGAACCGCCUCGUAGUCUCAAAAGUAAACACACAGCUCAACCGAUAAAUACAACAGUUAACAGUAAAAUUUCUACAGUUAUACUGAUAAAGAACAAGGAAAGUAGGAAAUAAACUAGGCAUGCUUCACAGAGUUCAAAUAAGCAAUUAAAGCACGUAGACAUGCGAUAUUAGACUAAACAGGAUAACUACACAUACUGGAAUAACUCAAUUAAGAAUGAAAACAAACUGAUACUCAUUUAAACGGUAUAACUCAAAGAAAAACAGGUUGCUACUCAGUAAAAUAAAUUGGUUUUACAAUAAAUAGCCUGUGUACGUACUCAUCACCUCACGUACACGACGCUCACAUAUCACAACAACACCAAAUCCUAAGGGGAUUCCCCCCCCCCUCCCCCCUCCCCACAAUGUUAGGCAAGCCACUUACCUCGAACCAAGCUCAAUCAAUAGGAAGCAAUGCUUUUCCCAUGAAUAUCCAACUCUGAAUGGCCUAAAUCUAGCCAAAAUCAAUUACAUACCAUAAAUAUAUCUAUAAUCAAUGAAAUCUAAGCUAAAGCAAGAAAUUAGGAAAUCGUCCCAAAAAGCCUCACAGGACCCACAUCUCGGAAUCGGGUAAAAGUCACAAAAUAUGAACACCCAUUCACUCAUGAGUUCAACCAUAUAAGAAUUACUCAAAUCAGACCUCAGAACGUUUUUCAAAACUCAAAAUUUUAGUUGAAGAACUUCUUCCCAUUUUUCUCAAUUUUUCAACCCAAAUCUGAAAUUAAAGAAUUAAUUAAUGAUAGAUUAGUGGGAUAUAACCAAAAUGGAGUGUAGAAUCAUUACCCAAUCGAUGUCUCUGAAAAUCCCUCAAAAUCCCAUCCAAAUCCGAGCUCCCAAACUCGAGUUUUGAUAAAAAUGAUCAAACCCUCGUUUUGAAAUGAUAUAAGUCUGCCUAGUGAUUCCUUAAUCGCGAUCGCGGAAAUAGCCUCGCGAUCGCGAAGAACAACUUCGCUGCCCUAGGAUUUAACCCUACGUGAACGCGUAAACACCAAGCGAACGCGAUGUACUGGCUCUCAGACUUACGCGAUAGCGAACGUCCUCACGCGUUUGCGAUGAGCAAAGCGCGUGGCCCAACUUUAGCCUCCUUAACUCUAUGUGAACGCGACUUUGGUCACGCAUUCGCGAAGCACCACUACGCGUUCACAUCCUUCUUCCCGCGAACGCUAAGAACAAAACUUCCUCUACCUAGCUAAGCCUACGCGAUCUCGGCCCCUCUCUCGCGACCGCGUAUAAGGAAACCAGAUACAACAGAUCACAGAACUUCAGCCAUUUCUCUAAGUCUAAAACGCAUCCGAUAAUGAUCCGAAACACACCCGAGGCCCCCAGGACCUCAACCAAGAUACCAUCAAGUCCUAAAACACCAUACAAACUUAGUCGAGCCCUCAAAUCAUAUCAAACAAUGCUAAAAACACGAAUCACCCUCCGAUUCAAACUUAAUAAACUUGAAACUUCCAAUUUCUACAACCGAUACCGAAACAUAUCAAACCACGUACGACUGAUCCCAAAUUUUGCACACAAGGCAUAUUCAAACCUACGGACCUACUCCAACUUCCGGAAUCGGAAUCUGACCCCGAUAUCAAAAAGUCCACUACCGGUCAAAUUCUCCAAAAAUUUGACUUUCGCCAUUUCAACCCUAAAUGAGCUCCAGACCUCCAAAACACAAUCCGGACAAGCCUCUAAGUCCGAAAUCACCCAACGGAGCUAACGGAACCGACGAAAUUCCAUUCCAGAGUCGUCUUCACACUGUUCCGACUACGAUCAAAAAUCCUAAGACUUAAACUUCUGUUUAGGGACUAAGUGUCCCAAAACACUCCCAAACCACAAACAACACCUCUCGGCAAGACACAUAAGCAGAAAAUGACGCGGGGAAAUCAGUAAACAGGGGAUCAGGGCUAUAACUCUCAAAAUGAUCGGCCGAGUCGUUACACUUAAGAUAUUUUAAUUUUUACAUUCGAUGCUGAAACCUAUCAAAUCAAGUCCGAUUGAUCUCAAAUUUUGCGCACAAGUUAUAAAUGGCAUAACGGGCCUAUGAAAAUUUUUAAAACUAGAUUCCGACCCCAAUAUCAAUAAAAUUUAAUUUGUGGUCAAAUUUUGAAAUCUUUAAGCCCUUAAGUUUCUAGUUUUCGUCAACUGGCGAUAAUUCAAGUUAGGGACCUCCAAAUUAAAUUUCGGGCAUACGCCCAGGUCCCAAAUCACGAUGUGGACCUACCGGAACUGUCAAAACACUGAUUUGAGUCCGUUUCCUUAAAAUAUUGACCAAAGUCAACUAAGUUGAGUUUUAAAGCUCUCUUUCAUAUUUUAAUCUAUUUUUCACGUAAAAACUUUUUGAAAAAUUAUCCGGACAACACAUGCAAGUCGAGGAAAGCUAAAUAGUGGUAUUUGAGGUUUUAGAACACAUAUAUAAUGGCAUGAUAAUCCUGCUGAUACCUAUAGCUCGCUGGGCGGGCAGUGGAGCAACUGGUGCCGGUAUGAUGGCAUGAGAAUCCUGUUGAUAUCUGUAGCUAGAUAACCUAGGGCAAUACCUCCUGAUGUGACCAAUGUUCCCACACUCAUAACACUCAUCCUUUUGUCGUGGCUGCCGAAGCUGAAGCAGACUCGAAUGGGUCGGAUAACUGCCAUAGUGACUUUAGAGCGGUGGUGCACUGAUUGGAGCUGGAUGUGCACUAAAUAUCGGCUGCCCAGAGUAAGGCAUAAUAGGACCAUGACUCCCAGAAGCACCGGGAGAUGCCUGAAAUGCUGAAUAAAAUGGCCUAGGAGGAUGACCCCUGCCAUAAGUACCCCUGCUUCCAUAUGGGGUGCCUCUGAAAUUACCGGAAUGACUGGGAUUUUAUCUGACACUGGCCCUCUCUCCUGUGAAAGAACCAUCUUGAUCCGCCUGGCGACAUUAGCAUCCGUCUGGAAAAAAUCUCACUCCCGGUCUCCUUGGCCAUAUGUAGAUUGAUAGGUUGAACGAGUCCAUCAAUGAACCUCCUCACCCUCUCUCUCUCGGUAGGAAGCAAAAGAAGAGCAUGACGGGCUAGAUCAAUAAAACGGGUCUCAUAUUGAGUGACUAAUAUACUGCCAUGUUGGAGACGCUCAAACUGCUUAUGGUAAUCCUCUCUCAAUGUAAUAGGGAUGAACUUCUCUAGAAAUAGCCGUGAGAACUACUCCCAAGUAAGUGCAGGCGAACCAAUUGAUAUAGUAAAUACGUAAUCUUUCCACCACCUCUUGGCGGAACCAGUUAUGUGAAACACAACAAAAUCAACCCCAUUACGUGUUCUCGCCGUCUGCGAGAGAAUAAGAAUAGAAUGGUUCAAUCAUCUAUGAUAGAAUAAAAUAGCACGACAGAAUAAGAAAGAAGUGAUAUUGUUCCUAAACUUCAUAGCCUCUAAGAGAUAAGUACAGACGUCUCCAUACAGAUCUUUCAGACUCUACUAAGCUUGCUCGUGACUCGUGAGACCUAAGUAACCUAGGGCUCUGAUACCAACUUGUCACGACCCAAAAUUUCCAUCUUCGGGGUCGUAAUGGCGCAUAAUAUUUUACUUGCUAGGCAAGCCAACGUUAGAAUAAUAUUAGUUAUUUUUAAAUAAUUUAAAAUUAAUUAAUAACAAAGAAACAAAUGCGGAAGUAAUGUCUGAAAUAUAGCGAAUAAUCUAUAAUAAUAGCGAUGCUAAAUACCAUCCCAGAACUGGUGUCACAAGUGCACGAGCUACUAGAACAAUACAAAUAAAGGUCUGAAUGAAAAUGAUAUUAUCUGAAAGAAAUACACAACUACAAAGAGUGGAAGGGGACUUCAGAACUGCGAACGCUAUGAAAUUAUAACUGAAUCCGAGCAAAUCUACUAUACACCACUGGGACCAACUCCGGUAUCUGCACAAGAAGUGCAGAAUGUAGCAUGAGUAUAACCGACCCCAUGUACCCAAUAAGUGCCGAGCCUAACUUCCACGAAGUAGUGACGAGGCUAAGGCAUGUCACUUACAUUAACCUGUACACAAUUAUAAUAAUAACAACAAUAAUAAAAAUAAAACGGGGAUCUCAUUUCAACAGUUGAAGCCAACUCGGCAGUCAUAACCAAUUAUUAUUUCAAUCAGUUUCCGUUACGGCGUGCAACCCGAUCCCACAAUAUAUUCAUAUUCAAUUCCGUUGCGGCGUGCAACCCGAUCUCACAAUAUAUUCAUAUUCAAUUCCGUUGCAGCAUGCAACCCGAUCCCAAUAUAUCUUUUCAAUCAAUUCUAUUGCGGCGUGCAACCCGCUCCCCCAAUAUAUUCAUUUCAAUCAAUUAUGUUGCGGCGUGCAACCCGCUCCUCCANNNNNNNNNNNNNNNNNNNNNNNNNNNNNNNNNNNNNNNNNNNNNNNNNNNNNNNNNNNNNNNNNNNNNNNNNNNNNNNNNNNNNNNNNNNNNNNNNNNNNNNNNNNNNNNNNNNNNNNNNNNNNNNNNNNNNNNNNNNNNNNNNNNNNNNNNNNNNNNNNNNNNNNNNNNNNNNNNNNNNNNNNNNNNNNNNNNNNNNNNNNNNNNNNNNNNNNNNNNNNNNNNNNNNNNNNNNNNNNNNUAGACACUCGUCACCUCGCCUAUACGUCGUUCACAUGAAUUUCACAUAACAAAUAAUUCAAGGGUUCUAUUCCCUCGAGUCAAGGUUAACCACGACACUUACCUCGCUUGGCAACCAAAUUCAAGAUUCUAAUAAACCUUUGCCUCGCGAAUUCGUGUCCGGAAGCUUCAAAUCUAGUCACAACAAUUCAAUAUACUCAAUACGAAUCGUAGGAAUUAAUUUCAUAUGAAAUUGCUAAUUUUUCGGAUUAAAAUCCGAAAUUUAUUUUAAAAAUUGACAGUGGGACCUACAUCUCGAAUCCCGAAAAAACUCACGAAAUCCAAACAGCAGUUAUGAUAUGAGUUCAACCAUACAAAAUUUAUCGAAGUCCGACAUCGGAUUGACCUUCAAAUCUUCAUUUUACUUUUUUGGAAGAUUUUAUAAAAAUCUGAUUUUUCUUCCAUAAAUUCACAGAUUCAUGAUGUAAAUGAAUAUGAAAUCAUGAAAUAUAAUCAAUAUAGGUUAAGGAACUCCUACCCCAGUGUUUACCCAUGAUAAUUGCCCAAAAAUCGCCUUACCCGAGCUCAAAAUUGUGAAUAAUGAAAAAUGGGACGAAAUCCCAUUUCGAGAACUUAAGUUCUGCUGUCUAGGGAUUUCUUCUUCGCGACUGGGAGGGCAGUCUUGCGAAGGUCAUGCUUUGCCAAGCUUGGCCUUCGCGAACGCGAAGCCUUAUCGCCUGGUGCCUAGCCAGGUCUCGCCCUUCUACGCGAACGCGGACACUCCCACGCGUUCGCGAUGAACACUGCACAUUAUCCUUCGCGAACGCGAAAAGUAAAUUUCGUUUGCCUCCAGUUCCUCUUCGCGAACGCGAGACCCUUCUCACGAACGCGAAGAAGGAAACUAGACAAUGCAUCAGAAAAGUUCCAGCAAAGUUUCAAGUCCAAAAUUAAACCCGUUAACCAUCCGAAACUCACCCGAGGCCGCAAGGACCUCAACCAAAUAUACUAACAAGUCCUAAAAUAUCAUAUGAAUUUAGUCAAAAUCUCAAAUUACAUCAAACAAUGCUAAAACCGCGAGUCAUACUCCUAUUCAAGCUUAAGGAACUUAAGAAUCUUCAACUUCUACAUUCGAUGCCGAAACCUACCAAUCAAGUCCGAUUGAACUCAAAUUUUGCGCACAAGUCAUAAAUGGCAUAGCGGACCUAUAAAAAUUUUCAGAACUGAAUUCCGACCCCGAUAUCAAUAAAAGCCAAUUUGUGAUCAAACUUUAAAAUCUUUAAGCCUUUAAGUUUCUAGUUUUCGUCAACUGGCGAUAAUUCAAGUUAGGGAUCUCCAAAUUAAAUUUCGGGCAUACAUCCAAGUCCCAAAUCACGAUACGGACCUACCGGAACUGUCAAAAUACUGAUCCGAGUCCGUUUGCUCAGAAUGUUGACCAAAGUCAACUCAGUUGAGUUUUAAACCUCUAUUUCACAUUUUAAUCCAUUUUUCAAAUAAAAACUUUUCGAAAAAUUAUACGGACAAUGCACGCAAGUCGAAGAAAUCUAAAUGGUGCUAUUUGAGGUUUUAGAAUACAUAAAUAAUAUUUAAAAUUAAAGAUAACAUAUUGGGUCAUCACAGAUUGAAUCCCAUGAAUGCUGGAAAUAUCAAAGGUGAAUGUGGGCCCAUUCACCUGCAAUGUAUACCACAUAAAAUACAUCUAUGUGAUGGUUACAUGUGCGAUUAUUAUUAACCCGCAACCUGAUGUUUGCGAGGUAACUUGCUCAAUAAUUUAAUUUCGAACAUAAUUUCUAUAUUUUCUAUUCAUGACAGUUCAUCUUGAUAAAUUGGUUUACAUCUCAACUAGUUUAGUAAAAUAAUUUAUUGAGUGCCUCGACUUAAUUGUUAAACUAUUGCUUAUGAGAAUAAAGUUAUAUAUAUUAGUUUGAUAUACGUUAUAUAUAAAAGUAUUAUUUCAUUCUCCCCUCACNNNNNNNNNNNNNNNNNNNNNNNNNUAAACGUGGGUUUCCAAAGUUGAGGAAGCAAGUUAAUUUUUCUAACAUGAGGGGGAGACACGAUAAAUAUGUGAGAAAAAGUUACGUAGAAUGAAUUAUAAUUUCUACAUCUAGAUCAUCGAAUAAGACAAUAUGAACUUGAAGUUCAUAAAAAGAUAAUUCAUAUGCAAUAUAUUGCAAAGCAUGUCACACGCAUUUGCGGACCCAAAGAAAGUAAUUCUAUUCUCACUGUAAAUCCUCCUAUUAGAAUAAGUCCUAGAAGGGCAAAGUCUACGGUACGCUUAAAGCCUACAGACAAAUCGGUUUCAAAUAAAAAUUUUUAUAAAGAAGAUGAGCAAAUGAUCAUAAUAAAUAGACAAGUGAUCUAGAAGAUCACAUGACAUAACACUUCAUAAAGGCUCAAGAGAGGUUCAGGUACUUGAAAAUAUGAAUGAAGAGAUUUAUAUGUUAUGUCUUUCUAAAAAAUGAGGUUGGAACCGAUAUAAAACGUUCGUCGACGACAUCUAUGAUAGCGCUAAGUAUAGAUGAGGAUCUUAAGUCUGUCGAAUACAGACACAAAAAUAUUGGCUAAAUGGAAGAGACAAAAUUCGAAUAAAAUUGGUUUCAUAUGAAAGACGUGUAGUUUUGGACAUGCAGUUCAAUCACUUAAAAGUAUAAAGUCAAUGAUAUUGAAAUAACGAUUCCAACAAGAUCAUAUGAAGAAUACAUCUCUAUCAAGAAUGAUGAUUUCAAGGUGCAACAUAUUCAUUCAAGUUAAUAUGGAUGAUUUGUUUAUCAAAUCUCUACCAAAGGAAUUAUGAAAAUCAACAUCAUUUGCGCAAUCAAGAUUCUCCCCAUGAGCAGUCGACACAUAAUAAUUUUCCAUAAAUCCCCUUUUAAAAAGAUGACAUGUAACAACAUCUUCUCCCAAUAACUAACGCACUUGCAUUUCACACAAGGGCACCUAAUCGUUCCUUCAAUACGAAAAUCAUCAAGUGUCCUUGCCUUAGAAAUAAAUCCAGCAACCCCUUCUUUAAGUUCAUCCUUUAACCCCACACGAUUAGGAUGAUUCCUAUUAUACAUCCAUCUACGAUGCGCAAAUGUCAUCUACACAAAGUUAAAAAGCUAGAAGUUUGACAUAUUUAUUUUAUUUAUACUAGUUACUAAGUUAUAUUUUUCCAAAGGUUAUCUAAAUAGUUUAAUUAUAUAUUUUUCUAUAGUACUUGGGUGGUUUCAAUAUUAAUAGGUACAUUAAACUAUUGUAAGACAAAAAAGUCCUAAAACAUAUAAAUUCAUCUAAUUUAUUUCAAAUUAGUAUAUGGUAGCGCUUUAAUGCUUAAUUGACUGCAUUUUCUUCAUUUCGUUCCAAUAAUAAAUAACAUAAUUAACACAUAGAUAGGCCGUGGAGAAUUUUCAAAUGAAAAGCCGAAACAGAGAAGUAUUAGCACUUAAGUUGUUUCUUAACUAACCUAACUUGAAUGUAUAAAAUUUUUAACUCUUUAAAAUAUUGUUCAACUCUAACAGAGAAGUAUUAGCACUUAAGUUAUUUUUUAUAUAAACAAGAAUUCCAUAAUUGUAGAAAAUACCCAAAUUAUUAUAAAAAAUUUCUUGAUUUACUAUUGUAUACAUACAAGUAUACUAGCCACUUUCACAAGAACAUCUAACUAAAAUUAUCCAUACUAUAUCUAAUUUAUACAUACUAAAUUGCUAAAAGUAUAAGUAAACAUUGUUAGUGUAUCUAAUUUAUACAUACUAAAAACAACUAGAAAAUGCUAAAAAUUUAAAAAAAAAAAGAAGAAACUUUCCACAGUAAAUCUGAAAUCCUUAAACCGUAUGAAACCCAAGAAAGAAGAAGACAAUUACUAGCAAAAACAAUUACCUUAUACUAAAGUCACCAGAUUUACUUUACCGGAGAAAUUGUUGGACCACCACAGGAGAGGAGAAGAGCCGCCAGAUUCACUGCAAAAAAAAAGAGUUAAACAAAUUGGGGCAAAAACAAUUAUGGGGAAGGGGAUGGGGCUAGACGGGGGAGGAGGACUGGACGGGGGACGGGGGCUGGGAGAGGGAGAGGGAGAGGGAGAGUGAGAGAGAGGGAAUUACUUACCUUGUAUUGAGAGACGAAGGAAAAUAGAUCGAGUGGGAGAAGAAGAGAAGAGGGGAUGAGAGGAAUAAAAAAUAGAGAAGAAAGAAUAAAGAAGGAAAAACGGAUUUGAGGGGCUGUAUAAAAGCAUUUGUGAUCGAUCCGGUUGUAAUUUAUAAUUUUAAAAUUGCGAUCAAAUCGAUCACAAAUGCCUUGACCAGUUAAACUCAAUUUUUUAGCAUUUUCGACCAAAUUGAUCGGAACAUUUAUUUUAAUUUUUUAAUUUUUGCGACUGACUCAGUCGAAAUUCCAAAAUUAUAUUUUUGCGGCAUUUUUCACGUAAUUGAUCGACGGAAAUGGUCGAAUUUUGGAGGCAAAAAUUAUUAAAUAAAUAAAAAUAUAAUUUUAAUUAUAUUUUUGAUCGAAACGGUCAGAAAUUCCGACUGCCUUUUUUCGGUCGGAAUUUUUCAAUCAAAAAUUUGCUUUUUUUUUUUUAAAGUAGUGACAAUACAUCUCCAUCAAGAAUGAUGAUUCGGGUGCAACAUAUUCAUUCAAGUUAAUAUGGCUGAUUUGUUUAUCAAAUCUCUACCAACGAUAUUUUGAAGGUGAUACACAAGAUUGAAAUGCAAAGACUCAAAUAUCUGACUAAUGUUCUCGUCAGUUAAUACGCGUUGUAUUCUUUUUUUUCAUAUAAGGUUUUGUCCCACUGAGUUUCCUUGCAAUAAAAAAUUUCUCACUCUACUUUUCUUUGCAAUACUCUUUUCGAAAAAAAUUAAUCAUUUUUAGGUCAGCUUAUUUUAUAUUGUUGUUGUUAUUACCAGUGUUUUAAAAGAUAUUUUUGGGAAUCGCCCGGGGCUCGCCUCUGGGCGGGUCACUUGCAAAACACCCUGGGGCUCAUGUAUGGGGCUUAGUUCUGUGAGCCUUACGCCCCAAGCGCCCGACCAUGCGCCCUAAACACGCCUAAUGCCCAAAGGGGCUCGCCUAACAGUUCUAACGCAAAUCACAUGUCGAAUUUCCUAAUUAAUAUAGUUGACCUUCAAAAUUAUUUAACAAAUUAAUGAUAAAACUUCUAUUCAUCGAUAGAAAUAUGAAGAUUGAGNNNNNNNNNNNNNNNNNNNNNNNNNNNNNNNNNNNNNNNNNNNNNNNNNNNNNNNNNNNNNNNNNNNNNNNNNNNNNNNNNNNNNNNNNNNNNNNNNNNNNNNNNNNNNNNNNNNNNNNNNNNNNNNNNNNNNNNNNNNNNNNNNNNNNNNNNNNNNNNNNNNNNNNNNNNNNNNNNNNNNNNNNNNNNNNNNNNNNNNNNNNNNNNNNNNNNNNNNNNNNNNNNNNNNNNNNNNNNNNNNNNNNNNNNNNNNNNNNNNNNNNNNNNNNNNNNNNNNNNNNNNNNNNNNNNNNNNNNNNNNNNNNNNNNNNNNNNNNNNNNNNNNNNNNNNNNNNNNNNNNNNNNNNNNNNNNNNNNNNNNNNNNNNNNNNNNNNNNNNNNNNNNNNNNNNNNNNNNNNNNNNNNNNNNNNNNNNNNNNNNNNNNNNNNNNNNNNNNNNNNNNNNNNNNNNNNNNNNNNNNNNNNNNNNNNNNNNNNNNNNNNNNNNNNNNNNNNNNNNNNNNNNNNNNNNNNNNNNNNNNNNNNNNNNNNNNNNNNNNNNNNNNNNNNNNNNNNNNNNNNNNNNNNNNNNNNNNNNNNNNNNNNNNNNNNNNNNNNNNNNNNNNNNNNNNNNNNNNNNNNNNNNNNNNNNNNNNNNNNNNNNNNNNNNNAUAUAUUAUUUAAUUUUUAUGUAAUUUUACCUGUUUAUAAAUAUUUAUUAUUAUUAUAUUAUUUUAUAAAAUAUUAAAAAUUUAAUACCUAUGAGCUUACGCCUCGCUGAGUCAUAUGUAAAACGCGUUGACUUACGUACACGCCUUUUAAAACACCGGUUAUUACCCGAUUUAGCUUGCGGAGCAGAUCAGGUAAGGAGAUAAGGUUACAGAGUUUACAUUUUUGCCCUAGAAUAUAAAUUUGGACUGGGGGUAAAUCUGGCUUUUAGCCAAAUCUUACAGUUCGUCAGUCGAUUCCAGUUACUCCAUUUCUUCCAGUUCCUUGCCGCUUCCGCCGUGGUUCCCGCCGGCGUUCGUGUUCGUUUUCUCCGGCCACCUCUUCGAGCCAAGGUCUUUUUUUUCUAGGCUGUGUAGAUAUUUGAAGCUUACUGUGUUAUUUUGGCUGAUUUACGUGUCCAGUGGGCUCUGCUCGCUAUUGUUGUAUGCCUCAAUCCCAAAGUAGUUCGUUUAGCUGUAUAAUUUCUCUAUAUUUAUUCAGCUAUGCCUCAAUCCCAAACUAGUUCGUUUAGCUAUAUAUUUUCUCUAUAUCUAUUCCGCUGUAUCGGGCUCAUUUCAUGUGCUGUGCUGAUUAUAUGGGAUAAUUUUUCAAUUCUGAUAUCUGAUUUAUUUUACUGUGAUUUCGCGGAACUUCAAAGAUUGGUGUAUUACUUGAGACGCCUGAAAUCGUGUACUGAGCCAGUGGGCAAAAAGUCAUGGUAUUAAUGUGUUAUUUCCUUUAGGAACUAAUUUAGUAACAAUAAUAAUUUAACACUAAUUUUGGUAGUUUUUCUCAAAUAAGCUACGCUUUUGUCUCAAUAACAAGUCCCACAUGUUAUAAUCUAUGUUACAUGGACUCAAUUAUGGGUACAUGUUACGGGAAUUUAUCAUGAUAUUGGCUAGUUUUAUGCUGGAUGCCAGUUUCCCGCAACACUCCUCCUUUAUUCGGGCUUGAGACAUGCUAUAGCAAGCUCUCACAUGGUCAGUGAGGAUCAUAUAGCUGAUCCCAACUUGUUUGGGACUAAGGCUUAGUUGUUAUUGUAUAUGGGUACAUUAGUUUUUUUUCCCCACUAUUUUUAAUUUAUUUCGAAAAAUCUUCAUGCGGUACUUGUUCGAUAUGGAUAUAUGAUAUAUCUAGGCAAAUGAAAGAUCCAUGUAAUAUAGGGUAUAAUUUCUAUUCACAGAGUAUUUGAUGAAUUGGAUCCUGCUGUCAGCUUGUAAUAUUGUUUUUAUUGGUGAGAACUGCUAAUAGAAAUCCUCUUACCGACUGCACUAUGAGUUCGAGUAUCAUGCCUUAUUUUUACCACUUUAAUGAAAAUCUAAGUGGUUCAGAACCUUCAUGACACUUUUAGAUUCUUUUUUAUUUUGUUUUCAGUUUUGUGUUUUUGCCUUCGUAUCCUUAUGCUUUCUUUCUUUUUCUGCAACAUUGGAUGUUUUAUACAGCUUGCAGUGAUUGUGCAUUAUUGGCUGCAUAUAGCAUGUGAAGAUGGUGUUAUCAUACGUAAUCCGAUAUUUUUAGAAUUGGAAAAUGCCUGAGAUAACAAGCACAGCAAAAGAAAUAUCUGAAAAUGGGACAGAUUCUUCUCAGGAUGAUAUUGGCACUGUUGAGGAAAUGCCUGAGGACAUAAUCUUAUCACGACAAACAUCGGUGAACCUCGUCCCUUUCAUUGGCCAGAGAUUUGUAUCACAGGAUGCUGCAUAUGAAUUUUACUGUAGCUUUGCAAAGCAAAGUGGCUUUUCAAUCAGACGUCAUCGUACGCGGGGGAAAGAUGGCGUUGGUAGGGGGAUUACAAGAAGAGAUUUUACGUGCCAUCGUGGUGGCUAUCCACAACUAAAGCCUUCAGAAGAUGGCAAGCUGCAAAGGAAUCGAAAAUCAUCGCGUUGUGGAUGUCAGGCGUUCAUGAGAAUUGUUAAACGAGCAGAUUUUAAUGUCCCUGAAUGGCGGAUCACAGGUUUCAGCAAUGUUCAUAACCAUGAACUCUUAAAGUCAACUGAGGUGCAGCUUGUUCCUGCCUACUGCACCAUGUCUCCUGAUGACAAGAGUCGCAUUUGCAUGUUUGCGAAAGCUGGGAUGUCAGUUCGGCAAAUGCUAAGGUUGAUGGAGCUAGAGAAGGGAGUUAAGUUGGGUUGCUUACCCUUCACAGAGGUUGAUGUCAGAAACUUGCUGCAAUCUUUUAGAAAUGUGGACCAAGACAAUGACCCUAUUGACCUCCUCAAAAUGUGCAAGGAGAUGAAAGACAAAGACCCUAACUUCAAAUACGACUAUAAAAUAGAUUGUAAUAACAGGUUGGAGCAUAUUGCCUGGUCUUAUGCUUCAUCAAUGAGGUUGUAUGAGGCUUUUGGUGAUUCCAUAGUAUUUGACACUACUCACCGCUUGGAUGCCUAUGAUAUGCUUCUUGGGAUAUGGAUCGGAGUGGAUAACCAUGGAAUGCAUUGUUUCUUUGGCUGUGUACUCCUUCGUGAUGAAAAUUUGCAGUCUUUCUCCUGGGCAUUGAAGGUACGAAGCCAUGCAAUCAUGUCACUAUACCAUUAUACCAAUCCCAUGUAUAAAGUAUUAAUCCUAAUUUGCCAGUACCCAAAAAGCUUUAAGUGUUUGAAAUGCCUAUUCAUGUGCCUAACAACAGGAGUCCGCGAGAGUGCCCAGAAAAUACUGAUGAAACUAGUGCAAAAAAGUGGAGUUCACUCCUGCUGUUAUUUACUACUACUUCAUAUGUUAAAAAAGGAAAAAUGAAUUAUCAGAUGUUAAGGAGCUACUUCAAAUAACUGGGCAAACUGGUGGCAAAGGAAAUUAUUAAACUAAUUGUUGCAAUUAGUGUGAAAGCAUAUUAUCUAAUAAGUUCAUCAGAUUAGAGUCUAAAACUUGAGUUAUAUUAAGAGAGUGGUUUCGACUGUACCCAAGAACUAAAAAUCAUAAAAAGACAAGAGAGUAUGUUGCAAGCUAGUUGGAAGAUCUCUUGCUUAACAACAUUAAUGACUUUUUGUCAGCUUGCACUUUAAUAUUUGCGUCGCUUUGCCUUACCGUAAUGAUGAUUCUUCACCUUCGUUUUGUGAUCUUUCUUUGGAUUUCCUCUUUUCUGUUUAAUGGUUGAUAACGCAUUUCUUUAUAUCUUUUUACCAAUCUUCCCCCUUCUUAUCCUUACCUGUAUAUAUGUUUGUUACGGGCAUCAGGUCAAACCAUCUCAGGUCAAUUCUGGUAUCAUAAGCAACUAGCUUAGCAACAACAACUGCAGAUAUCUUAAACGCAUCUUUCAAUCCAUAGCUUGCAACUCCCUUGGUUCCAUAUGCUAAUAUGAAAUCUUUUUUUGUUUUACUUCGUUUCUCCCAAAUUGGUGAUAGACAUUCUUGGGCUCCAUCAACGGCAAGGCUCCAGGAACCAUUUUGACUGAUCAGAAUUUGUGGCUCAAAGAAGCAAUUGUCACUGAAAUACCAAGGGCAAAACAUGCAUUUUGCAUUUGGCAUAUAAUUUCGAGGUUUUCAGAUUGGUUUUUGACACUUCUCGGAUCCCAAUAUGAUAAUUGGAAGGCUGAGUUCCAUCGCCUCUACAAUUUACAUUCUAUAGAGGAAUAUGAAGUGGGAUGGAAUGAGAUGGUCAAAACCUACAAGCUGGAUGAAAAUAAACACAUUGUCAGUCUAUAUGCUUUACGUUCAUACUGGGCGCUGCCUUUUUUGAGAUCUUACUUCUUUGCUGGAAUGACAAGUACAUUUCAGUCAGAGACAAUAAAUACUUAUAUCCAGAGGAUUUUGAGCGUGCAAUCUGUACUUGAUAAUUUUGUGGAGCAGGUGUGAGAUUCUCACUUACCUUUUGUUACUUAAACAGUUUAAUUAUUUGCUCAUUUGAUUCUUCUCCAAUUUUUUACUGACAACUGUACAUAUGCAGGUUGCUCGGGUUGUAGGCGCUAAAGAUCAAGCAGGAGGAAAACAUAAGGUACAGAGAAAUGUUCAAAAUGUUCCCCUGAAAACAGGUUCACCGAUAGAGUCGCAUGCUGCAACUGUUCUUACACCGUAUGCCUUCUCAAAACUACAAGAGGAGCUUGUUUUGGCACCACAAUAUGCGUCACUGAUGGUAGAUGAAAGUUACUUCAUCGUGAGACACCAUACAGAAAUGGAUGGUGGUUAUAAAGUAAUCUGGGUUCCGCAUGAAGAGUUCAUUAGCUGUAGCUGCCAUAAUUUUGAGUUUACUGGUAUUCUCUGUAGGCAUGUGCUACGUGUGCUGUCAACAAACAACUGUUUUCACAUUCCGGACCAAUAUCUGCCCACACGCUGGCGUGAAUGUUCCUCCUCUUUGGCUAAGCCUGCCCUCUUUAGUUUACCAAGUGAUAAUACAGGAAAAAUUCAGUUAUUGCAGUCUAUGAUUUCUACACUGAUUACUGAAUCAGUUGAAACCGAAGAACGCCUCAAUGUUGUUUGUGAUGAAGUUUCUACGGUUUUAUCUCGCAUUAAGGGGUUCCCGACAGCAUCCACUGGGGGUAAUGCUAUUGCAUAUGAGAGCCCAUCAGACUCGCUGAUUCUCGCAGAGGUUGAGGAUUCUGAUGGUAUUGGUCAAAGCUUCGCUUGUAAUCCUCACGAGUAUAUAAACUUGGCAAAGUUGAAAGAGAGAGGAUCAAGAGAUGGACUGGAUCUUUACAGGAAGAGGGGGCAUCUUUCCGUCUUAUGUUGUGGGCAAUAUGGCCAUGAUGCAAGUGAUUGUCCAAUGAUGGAAGGUGAAGAUUUGAAUGGAGAUAGACUUGGCUUUUUAUAGUAAAGGUUGCGAAAUGGGCUAGCACUUUGAGGAAAUAGGAAAUGUGAACCAACCUCUCUGUUCAUAAGCUGACAAUUCCCCCCUGUCAAUGCAAAUCUUUUACACCCUUAAACAUUUGUUAUCCAGGAAAUCGACUCUAACAUGGCUGGAAUACACUUUCUGACCAACAGUCUUCUCUGUAACAAAUGGAGGACCUUCUUUCAGUCACCAAUGAAGGAAGCAUUCUUAUUUCUGUCCUACCAACCCCAACUCCUAAAAGAAGAAGAAAAAAGGAGCAUUUAAGAUGUACCACUAUGAUUCUCACGCAUGACGCCUCAAUGGGGAAAACAGAGAAGCGAGGUUAGAUGGUAUAAUAUUGGGUUUUAUUUGAAAUACAACUGCGCAGGAUACACGUGACUCUUUUCUCUCUUUUGGUCUUUUCCCCUUCGUACUCUGACCAUGGCAUUCUGCGUCUGUUUCCAGAAGUGUUCUAUGGCACAAGUGACUAAUGUGUGAAAACAUAGGUCUACAUUCCACUAGUUUGAGUUCUAUUCUAAGCAUAUCAAGUGUAGGUUUUAAUUAAAUACUUGUAUUUGGUUCAAACAACAGUUACAAGACUACCUAUAGGAUGUGAUACAAAAUGGUUAGACUGGUACUUGAGAUGCCAUAAUCUGAUGAAAGGAAACAUUCUAGUCAUUUUGACCUUCAUCAGCCAAGGAAACUUUGCUUAGUCUGCUGGGCAAUGUCUUAAGAUCGUUCAUGUUCCUCACUUUUCUGGCUCUUCCUCGGCGGCUGCUUGAACCAAAUAUGGCUCUAUGUGCCAAUGCUUUUCCCAACAGCCGAUACUCAGCCCUGGAAACCUUUCUGUGAUCCUGCUCCCUUGUCUCGCCAUCAUCACACUGCUCUUGGAAGCUGCUGCUGUUGUAGGUUUCAGAAACUUCACAGAUUGCUUUGUCAGUGGCCAUUAUAUUACAACACAAAAGGAGGACUAGGGUGGUGGUGUGAAGGAAAUCGAGAAGUGUGUGAACUUUUUAUAUGUGACCCUUCUGGCUUAGUGGGAAUAAUUGUUAGUAAAAGACUUGGGGACAAAAGACAUAUGAAUGGGGAUGGUUAAGUUGGGUCGUUAGUGGUGGCAUGAAAAGGUAAAGUUGGAGGAGUUUGGAAGCAAAGUUUCAUGUAGCCGAAAGGUUGCUCCUUACGCAAAUCCUUUUUCACCUAUCCAUGCAUUCAUCAAUGUCUCUUGCGUAAGAAGGAAUAAUACAUUACACUUGGUAAUCCUUUAAUUUUGGCAGUCUUCAUUAGUUUUACUGUAUCUUCAUUAAUGAUUGGCUGUAAUUCUAUCAAGCGAGCUACUACUUGUAUAUCAUAUAGACUGGCACCUAAAUAAAUGCAUUGGCAUUUCUACUAGCUGAAAGUAAACUUAUACCAACUAAUGGCGUGCUUUCAGAGGUUUUUGCGAGUGAUCCAAAAGCUAUAUGAAGCAGAUGAAA
RNAcentral lists this long non-coding RNA (18980 nucleotides) under Nicotiana tabacum (common tobacco). Its description in RNAcentral is "long non-coding RNA (NTAB_LNC009660)". The record is from RNAcentral. Lineage: Eukaryota; Viridiplantae; Streptophyta; Magnoliopsida; Solanales; Solanaceae.